RNAcentral lists this ribosomal RNA (253 nucleotides) under uncultured bacterium. RNAcentral describes it as "partial 16S ribosomal RNA". It matches the Rfam family "Bacterial small subunit ribosomal RNA", at positions 524 to 776 of the family's 1533-position model. The record is from RNAcentral.
UACGAAGGGGGCUAGCGUUGCUCGGAAUCACUGGGCGUAAAGGGUGCGUAGGCGGGUUUUUAAGUCAGGGGUGAAAUCCUGGAGCUCAACUCCAGAACUGCCUUUGAUACUGAAGAUCUUGAGUUCGGGAGAGGUGAGUGGAACUGCGAGUGUAGAGGUGAAAUUCGUAGAUAUUCGCAAGAACACCAGUGGCGAAGGCGGCUCACUGGCCCGGAACUGACGCUGAGACGCGAAAGCGUGGGGAGCGAACAGG